ACCUCAAACCUAGUUUUUAAUUAUAAUAUACUACAAUUAAAUAAAAAUAAAAAAUAAAACAUUUUACUGUCUAGUAAAGGAGAUUGAAGAACUUAUAAAAACUAUAAAUAAUGUACCGCAAGGGAGUGAUGAAAUAAAAAUGAAAUAAUGUUUAAGUAUUAAUAAGCAGAGAUUAACCCUCGUACCUUUUGCAUCAUGGUCUAGCCAGUCAAAACAAGCAAAAUGCUACUAAAGUUUGUAACCCCGAAACUAAGUGAGCUACUUCAAAACAGCCUAAUGAGCCAACUCGUCUCUGUAGCAAAAGAGUGAGAAAAUUUUUAAGUAGAAGUGACAAGCCUAUCGAACUUAGAGAUAGCUGGUUAUUUGAGAAAAGAAUAUUAGUUCUGCCUUAAGCUUAUAAACAUUAAAAUAAAAUAAAAUAAUUUACUUAAGAGUUAUUCAAAUAAGGUACAGCCUUUUUGAAACAGGAAACAACCUAAAAAUUAGGGUAAUGCUAUAAAACCCAUAACCAAGUUGGCUUGAAAGCAGUCACCUUUAAAAAAGCGUCAAAGCUUGACUAUAUUAAAACUUAAUUCCAAUAUAUAUGCUAAACCCACAAAUAUUAUCAAAUAACUUUAUAAAAAUAUAAAUCAUAUUAUGCUAGAACUAGUAAUAAGAAUAAGAACUUCUCCAAAAUAUAAGUGUAAUGCAGAAUAAACCAUCACUGCUAAUUACCUGUUUAUGAAUUUAAAGUAGUAACCCCACUAGAAAACUCUACUCUCCUAAACAUUAACCUAACACAAGGAUAUUACUGGAAAGAUUAAAAGAAAGGGAAGGAACUCGGCAAAUAAAUUUAGCCUCGCCUGUUUACCAAAAACAUCGCCUCUUGCUAAAACAUAAGAGGUCCCGCCUGCCCACUGACUAAAAGUUUAACGGCCGCGGUAUCUUAACCGUGCAAAGGUAGCACAAUAAAUUGUUCUCUAAAUAAGGACUAGUAUGAAUGGCACCACGAGGGCUUAACUGUCUCCCCCAUCCAAUCAAUGAAAUUGAUCUUCUCGUGAAGAAGCGAGAAUAAACAUAUAAGACGAGAAGACCCCAUGGAGCUUCAAACUCAUCACCACUUACCUAAAUUUAACCACUAUAAAUAGUAAAAAUGUUAUUGAUAGUUUUCGGCUGGGGUGACCCUGGAGUAAAACAGACCCUCCAGAAUGAAUGAAUUUAAAGUUCUAAUCCAAGAAUUAUAAUUCUAAGAAUCAAAAAUUUGACAUAAUGAUCCAAUUAUUUGAUCAACGAACCAAGUUACCCUGGGGAUAACAGCGCAAUCCAUUUCAAGAGCCCCUAUCGACAAAUGGGUUUACGACCUCGAUGUUGGAUCGGGGUAUCCUAGUGGCGCAGCCGCUACCAAUGGUUCGUUUGUUCAACGAUUAAUAACCCC
RNAcentral lists this ribosomal RNA (1414 nucleotides) under Afrixalus uluguruensis (Uluguru banana frog). RNAcentral describes it as "partial 16S ribosomal RNA". It matches the Rfam family "Bacterial large subunit ribosomal RNA", at positions 136 to 2597 of the family's 2925-position model. The record is from RNAcentral. Lineage: Eukaryota; Metazoa; Chordata; Amphibia; Anura; Hyperoliidae.